This is a long non-coding RNA of Trachemys scripta elegans, 6691 nucleotides long. RefSeq lists it as uncharacterized. NCBI's taxonomy places the organism in Eukaryota, Metazoa, Chordata, Testudines, Emydidae. The transcript has 11 exons. The record is from RefSeq and is a predicted model, not a curated record.
GCGUGACCCGGGCGGUGACGUGGCAGGAAAGGCCCAUGUCCCGGGGGGGGGGAGCAGCGUUCACCGGCGUGUCAGCGCGGGGCGGUUCACCCCCUGGAGCUGGCGCUGCCCAGGCCGCCGCCGGACUCGCCCGCCCCGGGGUGGGCGCUGCGCGUUGGUAACGCUGUGGGCAGGCUGGAGACCGCGCCAAGGGGAGCGGCAGCAGACGAGGGUUAGAAAGCCCGGUCUGUAAGCAGAGAUGAAGAGACUGAGGCCUGUCUGGAGAGGCGCAGCGGGACGUUAUGACCGGCUAAAGCUGUGUAAAGCUGGUUAGACUGAGAGCAAAGUGGUAGGAGCUGUGCAUUGCAGAGAAACAUCUCUAAGGAGCUCGGGGGGGCUUGAGUCCAAUGAUUUUUAACUGCAUGCUAAGCGAGGACUAGGCCAGGAGAGCCUGGAGGAGUUCAUGGGUGAGGAAGACAGACUGGUGUGGCGGGGAGCUGACACACUCUUGCUGAGGCAGACAGGCAUCAAGGGCCGGCGUAAUCCAGGAUACUGGAGCAGAUGGACCACUAGUCUGAUCAGAUCCAAGUCCAGCAGGAGAUGGGUGCGGGACGGUGGCUGUGGCACAAAGUGAGAUGGGCAGACUCUGCAUCAUGGUGGCAAUGGGACAAAGGCGCUCAGCCUGAACAAUACUAUUGGAAGGAAAUCUAACAAACACUGGCCAUCAGGCUCUAUGGACUGAAAUCGGAGAAGAGGCUGGUAAUAAAUAAGGACCAAAUUCAAAGGUGUGCCUGGGAGGCAGACAGUGCCAGAGACAAAGGAGGAAGUGGAGUAAGUCUCAUCAGGCUCAUAUAAAUUCAUCCUGCCUGUCAAGCCUGAAGAAGCGACUCGUGAAUGUGAGCUUGCAGGGGACAACUUGUACCAAAGUCUAGCACCCCUCCCCAGGUGCUCUGGGGCUGACGUGCGGCUCUGCCACUUCCUCUCUGCCUGAACCGUCCCAUGGGGAUAAACAACAAGCCCCUGGCUGAGAAACCAACAGCUCCUGGAAUGGCCAUUGUCAGGAAUAGCCCAUUCACUGGGAGUGUCUGCGCCCAGGGUUUCUACAGCGCCUGCCCUCUCCCCCUCUCAAAUGGCGACUGAAUUGAGUAAAACAAAGCUCACAUGAGAGAGAGUACAGCACACUCAUUAAACUGCAACACAUCCGCCCGGGAAGCAAACAGAGUAAGAGGAGGAGGCAUCCAGUUCUCCUGGCCCAGCUCUUAAGCCUGCACCACAGUUAUCGUGUCUUCGUUAAGCACUGAUUGUGCUUGGCCCUGUAUGAAACACAUGGUUGCUGCCCCACAGACCUUACAGUCUGCAUAGUUAUGGACCAAACCCUCCUGGAGGAGAGCAGCAGGCAUGGACUUUGGGUGUUCUUGCAGAAUACUGUUCAGCCAGUGUAGUACCCACGUGCUCAGAAGAAACCUGAUGCUGGCUCAGCUCAUAACUGACCUAGCAUCGAAGAUCAUGUAUAUGAGUUUCUGGCUACUAACCUGGGAAGCUCUUGACUGUGGAAGUGAGGUCAGAGGAAAGGGAAGAGAUGCUCUUUCCAACGCUGUGUCGCUAGGCCCAGCGUUUUUGGGAGUGAAGAGAUCAAAGUGCAGUUGCAGCUUGGGACUUGGCAGUUGUCACAUUGUUGGCAUAACAGCCUGUGCAGCAGCACACAAUCCGAAUGCGAGUCUGUUCUGUUCUAUAGAGCGAAUAGUGCACCGUGCCUAACUAGACCCUUUCCAGAGCCCCAGCCUGUAUUUCAGAGGUGAGCUACCUGCCUGAAACACCCUACCAUCCUGGCAGCACAUUCUCAUUCCCAUCUGCAAUUGGUUAGCUAAACAAGCAGUCUCUACCCCUUUUGCCAAGCUGGGCGAGGUGUCAUGACAUUACCAUUAUUCUUAGUUUUACAAGCAAUUAAAAAAUUAAAUCAAAGGGCUGGUGCUAAAAAUAACGAUUUUUAGUGUAGGCUGGAAAGAAAUGGAAACAAUUUCAAAGCGUGUUUUAAACACUGCAUUUUCAUUAUAGACAUUUCAGCUGCUUUUCUCUCAGCCAGGAUCAUUCGCUCCAGCUCCUGUGUGUUUUCCGUGCUGAGGCCUGGCAGCUGACAAGGGGGCGCAUGCCAUGGAAAUACUGGGCAAGUGUCACUCACUGAUUCCUGCAGCAAGUCAUGGUUGAAUAAUGAGUUAAAAAUCCUGGACUGAUGAUGUUGCCUGACAACAUGAAGCGUCCGAGGUGUCAAUCCUUGUGUUCUUUUUGGGUGGAAUGAGCUGAAGUAGCUGUGUUCUCUGUGAUAAACCCCUCCCCACAGAGCAAUGCAAGUCCCUUGGCUUUACACACAGGGAAAUUAGUUUGAACCAAGUUUCUAGAUCAACGUAGCCAAACAAAACCUUAUGACUGCAGAUUCCCUGUGACUCUCCAUAGCGCUUUUGAUUUCUUGACUGAGGCAUUUGCAGCUGCAGUAUGCAAAAAAUCCUGAGUCCAGCUAUAUAUUAUUAAAAGUCUAUUUUUGUGGGAAUCCCCCAAUUUCCUUUCCCGUCACCACAACCCUCAGGCCCUAAGCAACAGCAAAGGUCUGUCAGAAUCCCCAAGCCCCCUUCAGAAGUGCUGUGCCCAAAUGCAACCCCACAGACCUGCACUAUUCUUCUGUCCAGGAGCUGCUACCACACUAACAAUGUCUGAGCCUGUGGGGAUGGGCUAGAUGUAACUCAGAACUAGUAGAUCUUUUCCACCUCUGACUCCUAUAAUUUGGAUGCCUAAUGAUGGGAUUGGCCAUCUGGAUAACACCAGUGUCCCAGGGGUUAAUUUGGUAACCUUGUUAGUGCAGAAAGCAGAUAGUACCUGCCUUUCAGGUCCACAAAUACAUUUAUUCAUGAGAAAAACACCCAUCUGUACCGUUCUGUUUUAUUUUAAAUAACCCCAAAGCAUGAAGGGCGGCUGGUAAUCUGUAUUCCAGCAAGGCUGGGCUUUAUUUCUUUGCCACUUGAAUGCUUAAAGAAGACACUUGUAGUUUUUGCAGAUUUGUUCAGGUGAGCUGUUCUUGGAGAAUGGAAUCAGGCCAUGACUCCGUCCACAGUCCCAGGGGUCUUAUGCUCAGGUGCAGAAAUGAAAGGCAAUGCAGGGCAUGUCAAACUCAGCAGUAACUCCAAGUGUAAGGCCAACCUCUGUGACACGGCUGUUGCUAGUUCCAAUUGGAACCUAGCUGGUGGACCCAAAAGCUGUAAAAUGGGGAUAAUGGAUGAUAUCGGGAAGUAUCGUGUAUUACACGCCUGAACUCAAGUUUGAAAGCAGUCGGAGACCCUUGGAUGGAAGAAAUUAAUUGUGUCAGCAAAAUGGUUUGGAAAUGCUCUGAAGAUUGUUCUUCUAUCAACGUGACAGAUUAAGUUACAGGCUGCUGAGCUGAAUUCACCUUGGACCGAUGGUGCACUAGCACUGGGGCUCCCCCUACUACAAGCUGAAAUCACUGAGUGCUGUGUUAAGUGGGGGGGCCUGACGAUAUAUGGCUGAGCAGCUGGCGGAGUGGUGCAGUUGGCGGGACAGCUGGAGUGGCUUACAGGACGGCUGGUGGAGCAGAGCCGCUGGCUUGAGCAGCUCAUGGGAUGGCUGGUGGAGAGGAGCGGCUGGCGGAGUGGCUCACGGUGAAGGCUGCAGCAGAACCCCAUGGAGAGGCGGAGAAGUCGGCCUUGGACCACUGAUGAGCUGUGGCUGUAAUCAGUGGGGCUUACAGAAUCCUGCCCACUGCCCUCACAGCUCUAUGCCACUGCGGGAUGCUUGUGGCAAUGCUGUAGCCAGGGCUGACGAGAUAAAGGUGGGUUAAAACACAUUAUCUGUUUCCAUUCUGCUGCUCAGAUUGAUGGAAUUUCAUUAGCUCGUUGCUCUCUUUGGCUCUUGGAAGCUCUGGUCCCUCCUCCAGGGCAAGGGAGCAGCAGUCACUGAAGCAGACAGAAACCCGCUGCAAAUAGACAGUGCUGGUCCCAUCCCCUCAGCACAGCAGCAAAGGUGGUUGCCAUAUGUACCCCAAAGCCCCAUUGUCCUCACCCCCCUCCAGGACAGUGCUGCUGCCCUAUCUGGACUCUGGGGUGUCCUGCCCCAUCCCUCUUCAACCCUCGCCCCCACUCUCUGAACAUGGCUGUGCACCAUUGCGCAAACCCCACUCCCCCAGCGCAAGGUUCCCUCAGCUGGGCUCUGCCUCUGGGACCCUCGCUGGCAGCACAGCCUUUGCUCAGCCACGGAGUGGCCCUUUCCCAGCAUUAGCCCCAGUGGCCAGGCUGCCACCUGCCUCCUUUCCCAGACAGAGCCUCUGCAGGGAGAAAGGCACGCAGGACCGGAGCCCCAUCCAGCCAAGGUGGUCAGCAAACGGCUGAGUGCACCCCCUGCUGCUGAGCAACAGAGGCUGAGGACAGGGAGCCCUCAUGGGCCAGGACCUCAUCCCCAACAGUCUGCCCCCAACCAGGCUUGUAGCUCAGAAAUCUGGGUGCCUGGCCCUGCUGGUCCAGUGUGCGCUCCCCUUCCUAAAAUUCACAAAUCACAGUGCCUGGCUUCACAGCAAGAGGCACUGGGCGGCGUCAGGUUCAUGAACUGAAGAGCAGGCAGGGUCACUGUCUGCAGUGGUUCAGCUGAUAGGGACUUUGUGGAUGAUAUGGUGGAGUUGAAGAAACGGAGGCCCUGAUCCUGGGCUGCAUCUGAGCUCAGGAGAAGGGGGCAGCGAAGGUUGCUGUAAGCAGCACCCUUUAAGCUCGGAGCUGGUUUGACAAGAUAUGUAGGCUUUGCCCACAGAGUAAAGAGCAGAAUCAAAUCCUCAUGGUUUAACACACUCUGCAUUAAUGUGUUACCGUCAUGCUCGAUCUCAGAGGACAAAUGUUUGUGGCAGUAACACUACAGGAGGAGCUAGGAAAGCAAAAUGCAAUUUCCUCUGUUGGAAUUAGGCCAAAAAGCCAGGGCUAGCAGCCCUCUUGCAAAAGAGCCCGGGGAUCGUCAAUGACUGCAUAUGGCAGGAAGUUGGUGUUACAUCUUGUCAGAGAGACACUGAUUCCCGCGUUGAGCCAGCCUGGUGUCCCUUGGAGGUACCGGUUCAUUUCUGACCUGAAGGACAGAUGUAAAUUACAGAAUCAUUAAGAUCACAGCUUACAGCACUUGGGGCUUCCCUGAGUGUCAGAGGCCAAGGCCAGUUAAUAAAAUUCCCCAGUAAAUACAAUAAAAUCAGUGCGCUGAAGGAAUGUCUAUAAAAAAGUGCAAGACGAGUCACUUGUGCAAACCCCAGUACUAGUGUGCACUCUGUCGGCACGGUUGCAGUGAAGCAUGUUACACCACUCUGUGGGAGCACAGGUCACUGGAUCAGUUCAGCACAGGGCCAUUUUGUAUUUUAUGUUGCCUGUUUGUUGUUAUUUCCAAGGGAACAUUACCAGAAAACUGGAAUGGGCUGAGCUGCUGCGUUCCCCUUGUGUACAAGUCUGUGUUCAUUGUGCCUGUGUGCGUCUGUGAUUCCCGUCCUCCUGCCCACAUCUCUCAGAACAUGCUUCUGGGAGCCCCACAACAUGCACUGUGUUUGCAGGGUGAGUGUUGUGAGCCUUGAAUGCCAUCACAUUCUAAUGAAGAGGCUGUUAUUAAAUGGCUGAAAAAGUCAGGACCAAAAUAGUAAUGAAUCCACGUCAGAAAUGCUCAGCAACAGCAAAGUGGCCAUGUUCCCCCACGACAUGACUGCUCCAGAGCCCAUUUCAUGGGGCUCCAAAGAGGUACCAAAGUUUUUUUCCCACUUUCCCAUUUAAAGGGGCUUGUCAGAAGACCAAGGGUUUGAUUUCUCUGAUGCCUCUAAAUCCAGGAGGCCUUUGUGUUUACUUCACAGGGCUCCAUCUCUGCAGCUGUGCUCCUUUUGGUUCCUAGCCUAGAUGGAUUCUGUACCUGUUCUGUUCCCUCCCUCCUGUUGUGUUGCUUUAUCAUUACUCUAUUACAACAAAAUGCUGCAGAGAGGAGAUGAAAAGAAGCUUGAAAGCCGGAUUCCAUGAAAGUGUGAAUUUAUUUUUAAAUCUUCGAAAUUAUUUACUUUGUCUGGCUUGUUUUUUUGUUUUUCUUUUUAAUGACCGGUGAAUGUUUAUUGCUUGUUCUCCUUCCAAAGGUGGAGCAUGGCAUGAAGGAAAUUAACUGCACACCGGGAGAGAGGCAGCUGUUUUUAUUUUUCAAGUUAAAUCUGCAACUUUGCUGAAAUUUCAGAAAAAAGCAACCUUCUGUAAAUUAAACCCUGAUCUUUGUGCUUUGGUUUAAAAAGAGGCUCAGCGUCAGAAAAGGCAGCAGGAGCAGAAAACAAACAUGAGAUUGUAGUAAGAUGAGGCUCUGAAACAUAAACUCUUGCAACAGAGGCCCGGUCUGAGGCCUAAGGCCUGAACUAAAGGAAUGGUCAAGACUUUGCUAACAUAAAGCACAGUUAAGCUGUGAGGCAGAGGCAGGCCCUGCUCACAGAAAUUGGCAAGGAAAGGGCUGAUGCUGCAAGAAGAUACAGAUCUAAAAGGUCCUGGACACUAGAUAUCAGAACACUCCAAUACUUGCACAUUCCACACAGAUAACAACGAACAAGCUGACCCGUCCUAAAGCCAGGGGCAAAACGGUAAUAUGAUGGGUAGAGUUGUUUUGUUCAAACCAACAUGUACAAGAUGAGAGGCGGCACCUUGCUACGUAGAGGGACUGCACCUCA